UUCCGAGAGGGGACAGACCAUUUUGACACCUCUUGUCUUUUGCAGCUUUGAGAGCCCUGAGAUUCAGCCCCUGCUUGGGACAUAGUGGCUAUAGGGAGAGUCUUCUCAGGCAGUGAACCGAGAAAGAAGGUUGCAUGGGGUCCUCCUGAGACACACCUAGGCACUCUGAAAAAUAUUUCAGUGAAACUUCUAUGGGGAAGUGCUGGAGGCCUGUGUCAGCAGGUGGGAGGCCCCAGUGACAUCUGUUAAUGUGGAUUCAUUUGUCCCUCUGGUGCUGGGCCUGAGCAAAUUUGGGAUGCACAUACAUCCUUUCAUUGGAUUCUUGUUAUAUCCCUUUGAGGUCAGCAUAGCAAGUACUGUAGACUCAUUUUUUUUUUUUUCUGCAGAGGAAGAAACUGAGGCUAAAGAACAAAAACUUGCUGAAGGUCACUCAGCUUGGGCUGUGGGACUUGUUUUCCUGCCCCGAGCCCAGCGUCCUUCCCACCAUCCAACACUGUUUCCUUUCUUGGUACCUCCAUUAUUAGAACACCUGGAUAUUCUUAGCUAACAAUGGAUGACAUAAAUAAACACACGGUCAUUUCCCCACAUUUCCGCACAGGUCCUCUGCAGAUGGCAGAGCCCUUUCUCUAAAUGCAUGGCAUGAAAAGGCAUUUCAAAGGUUGGAAAGAGAGCUUCAGCAUUAAUCAUGAUGGGAUAGCGGAAACUGGCUUUGCAAGGGAUGGACUGGACUUCAGGGAAGAUGGACAGCCUGAGCUCACUUUCAGGAGAGCUCACUUUCAGGAGAUCAGUCAGGGCUGUCAUUCCAGGGCCUGGGUGGAGGGCUUCUGCUGUGCCAGGGAACAGGUGUCUGGACUCGGUCUCCCAGGGGAGAAGCAGGCCCCCCACAAAGGACAUAAAUCUCUACAGAUGAGGAUACCUCACUGGGCUUUUGUUUGUCAGCCAAAAAGGGAAAAACAUUUCAGCAGAGGCCUCAAAGGCAGAACAAAAUAGUGCAAGGAGCCGCACAUCCGCACAGUGCUGAGACCCUGCCCAGGACAAGCUUGAUCCUGGCACCCAAGUGACAACCUGCAUUGAAAAGGCGGAACUUGGCUCUCCUGCCCUGCCAGCUGUAAGAGCUUGAAAGCAAAGCUAUGGGGGGAAUGUCUUUCAUUUCCCCCUGGAAGCUGGGAGGACGUUCAGCUUAGCAUUGCCAACUGUGUAAUGUGGACUUGCCUCUAAAAGAAGCCUUUUUCCUUGGAUGUCUUUCAGGCCGCAGUAUUCCCUUUGGCACCCCCACCCACCUGGAACAAAGCCUGAUGUAAAGUCUGGGUGCGACUCAGACCGGCCUGGGAAAGAAUUUAUUUAAUAAAUGGUGGAAAGUGGCUUC
RNAcentral lists this long non-coding RNA (1366 nucleotides) under Homo sapiens (human). RNAcentral's name for it is "HSALNT0305438". The record is from RNAcentral. Lineage: Eukaryota; Metazoa; Chordata; Mammalia; Primates; Hominidae.